CAGAAAUCUCCUGAGGAAUUUGGGGGUGGGCAGGGGAAAGGCUCCUGAGGAUGGAAUAGGUUGUGUAUAAUUCAGUAUGUCAGAUAAUGCAGAGGUGGUAGAGAGAGUGAGUUCAGGGUGAUGACUGGGGGUGGCAGAAGAGACAAGUGUUUUCCCCUUCUUAGAGGAGCGAUCUGGGAAAGGAAACUAUAUAGUCUACCUUGGACAAUUUCUAAGAAGUGUCUAUCCUUUGUUUGGCAGGAUUUAUUCUCAAGGAGGAUUGGAUGAACUGGUGUUCUUGGAUCCUCAUUUUGACCUUCUACAUACUCAUAAUAAUGAUUAUUUUGAAAUUUUUCUCUAUUUAUAUUUCCUCUUUUUUUAUGAUACUGCUCUUUUCAGUGAAUUUCGCCAAUAUUGAGGACAUUAUAUUUUCGAUGCCUAUAUUUAGGUUAUUUUUUGUGUGGUUUCUUCCCCUUAUUCUUUCAAAAAUGCGCUCUGCUUCUCGGAAAUAAGGGGCCCUGUCCCAACCUUUCUGUGCAGUUCUGAACUUUGGCUUUGAGCACAAAGGCCCCUUGGGUUUGCAGGGGGAAACUUUGCGCUAUUCAGCAAACAGCCUGUUUCCCAGAGUUUGCCUUCUGAGCUGGAAUUGGAAGCUACCCUACUGAUUUGUUCUUAGACUGAGUCAGGGCUGAGGGUCUUCAGUGUGAUUUGCUUUCAUUAAGACCCUCUCACCAAACUUUCCCAGUCUAUCUGAGCUGCCCUGAACAUACUUUUCACCCCAAUGAGACUGACAUUUCUUGAACUCUUUUCCAGUCUAUGUUGAGCUGAAAAUUAAGUAAAUUCCAUUAGACUCUAUUCAGAGGCUUGGUUUCAUGUGAUUUUCCAGGGAAACUGGGAGAACUGGAGCAGCUCCCUGACUUUAUUCCACCAUCUUGGCUCCACCUCAGAAGUCUUUUUUUCCUCUUCUUAUUUAAAGUUUGAGUUCCAAAUUCUGUCCCUCUCUCCCUGUUCUUCCCUCCCCAAGAUUGUAAGCAGUCAGAAAUAGUUUAUACAUGUGCAACUAUGUAAGACACUUCCAUAUUAGUCAUUUUGUACAAGAAGACUCAAAUGAAAGAAAAAAAAGCAAUAAAGAGAUAAAUACCAUGUUUCACCCUGAA
Molecule: long non-coding RNA, 1136 nt
Organism: Antechinus flavipes (yellow-footed antechinus)
Lineage: Eukaryota; Metazoa; Chordata; Mammalia; Dasyuromorphia; Dasyuridae
Exons: 2
Source: RefSeq, a predicted model, not a curated record